GAUGAACGCUGGCGGCGUGCCUAAUACAUGCAAGUCGAGCGAACGGACGAGAAGCUUGCUUCUCUGAUGUUAGCGGCGGACGGGUGAGUAACACGUGGAUAACCUACCUAUAAGACUGGGAUAACUUCGGGAAACCGUAGCUAAUACCGGAUAAUAUUUUUAAACGCAUGGUUCAAAAGUGAAAGACGGUCUUGCUGUCCCUUAUAGAUAGAUCCGCGCUGCAUUAGCUAGUUGGUAAGGUAACGGCUUACCAAGGCAACGAUGCAUAGCCGACCUGAGAGGGUGAUCGGCCACACUGGAACUGAGACACGGUCCAGACUCCUACGGGAGGCAGCAGUAGGGAAUCUUCCGCAAUGGGCGAAAGCCUGACGGAGCAACGCCGCGUGAGUGAUGAAGGUCUUCGGAUCGUAAAACUCUGUUAUUAGGGAAGAACAUAUGUGUAAGUAACUGUGCACAUCUUGACGGUACCUAAUCAGAAAGCCACGGCUAACUACGUG
Molecule: ribosomal RNA, 497 nt
Filed under: uncultured bacterium
Lineage: Bacteria
Description: partial 16S ribosomal RNA
Rfam family: Bacterial small subunit ribosomal RNA
Source: RNAcentral